CUUCUUUCCAAUGCUUGCCAAAAUCAUGUAAGUUUUCAAUCCUUAUGUGUUUAUCAUGUUAGAUACAUGUUAGGAUGUUGGAUUUGAUAUUUUGGAGCUUAGAUUUAAGGGAUUGUGUUCUUAGUGUUUUGUUGGUUAAUAUAUUGAUUGUUUUUGUUAGUUUAGGAUUAUUAUGUGUUUAUGUAAUUUUAAAAGUGUUUUAUCAUUUAAAAAUGGAUUUUCAGUUGUUAAAGAAAUUAGCUUUUUGAUAUAUUGCAUUUUAAGAAAAAGUUUAUUGGUUUUUAAUAUAUAAAAACGUUUUUUAAAAAUAUUAUAUAUCUAGAAUCAUUUAAAAUAUAUAUAAACGUUUUCGUUAGUAAUUAUAAUAUUAAAAAACGUUUUUACAAUAAUUUCAAAUAUAAGUUAUCAAAAAAAUAAUAAUAAUUUCAAAUAUAUAAAAACUCUUCUCCAUAUUUUAAAUUUUCCAUAACUUGUUUCAAUUAUUUAAUUUAUACUUUAAAUAUUUCAAAAUGUUUCAAAAAAAUAUUUAAAAUGUUUUAGUUAUUAUUAAAAAUAUUUAAUAUAUAAUUUAUAUAAAAUUUUUAGUUUAAAAUUUAUAAAUUUAAUUCUACCUGCAGAUUCCAAGCUUUUUCUUCGAUUUUCACUCGUCUUCUUUCUAAUGCUUGUCAAAAUCAUGUAAGUUUUUAAUCCUUUUGUGUUUAUCAUGUUUGAUACAUGUUAGGAUGUUGGAUUUGAUAUUUUGGAACUUAGAUUUAUGGGAUUUUGUUCUUAGUGUUUUGUUGGUUAAUAUAUUGAUUGUUUUUGUUAGUUUAGGACUAUUAUGUGUUUAUGUAAUUUUAAAAGCGUUUUAUCAUUUAAAAAUGGAUUUUCAGUUGUUAAAUAAAUUAGCUUUUUAAUGUAUUGCAUUUUAAGAAAAAGUUUAUAGGUUUUUAAUAUAUAAAAACGUUUUUUAAAAAUAUUAUAUAUCUAGAAUCACUUAAAAUAUAUAUAAACAUUUUUGUUAGUAAUUAUAAUAUAAAAAACGUUUUUACAAUAAUUUUAAAUAUAUAAAAACUCUUCUCCAUAUUUUGAAUUUUCCAUAACUUUUUUCAAUUAUUAAAGUAUAUUUUAAAUAUUUCAAAACAAUAUUUAAAACGUUUUAAUUAUUAUUAAAAAUAUUGAAUAUAUAAUUUAUAUAAAAUUUUUAGUUUAUAAUUUAUAAAUUUAGCAUUUAUAUGUUUAAUUUGUUAGAUUAAAUUUAUAUAUUAUAAAUCUUUUUACAAAUUAAGUAUAUUUUUGGUAUAUUUUAUUUAAUUUAAUUUUAUUUUUUUAAAUUAUUUUACUUUUCAAAAAUUCCCGACGCAUGUCGGUUGGAAAUUUCCGAUGGGUAUUCCCUACAAAUUUUCGUUGGAAAUCCGUCAGGAAAAUGUCUGUCCAGCAUCUGUCGGAAUGGCCCGAUGAAUUUCCGAUGGAUUUUCAAUUCCCAACGAGAUAAUCCUGACGAAUAGUUUUGUCAAGAAUUUGUGGAGAACGCCGAAUCUUGAUGGUUUUCCGACAAUUUAUCCGUUGGAAUUCACGUGUUUUGUAUUGGUAAGGAAAAUUAUUUUAUAUACUUAGUGAUUUUUUUAUCUUUCUUUUCGGGAGUGCGGGGAGGGAGGGAAAAAACAUGAAGUCAUUUAAAUGCCCGAAGUCUGCAUAAGCUUGAGGAGAAAUAUUUAUUUGUUGUUAAGCCAAAGUCCCAGGUCUCUGAGUAAGCCCGUACUUUUUUGAAGAAUCCUGCAGUUGUCAUUUUGAACUGAAUCCAUACAUGAGUGGAGGAGGUUGGGGUACGGUACUAAAGGUCGUCGGAUUUAGGUACCAAAUGCUUUAGCAAUCUUAGAUUCAA
Molecule: long non-coding RNA, 1864 nt
Filed under: Brassica rapa (field mustard)
Lineage: Eukaryota; Viridiplantae; Streptophyta; Magnoliopsida; Brassicales; Brassicaceae
Description: long non-coding RNA (BRAP_LNC004228)
Source: RNAcentral